GGAAGGGUCGCAUAGUUGGUCUAGUGCGCUGCACUCGAAAUGCAGUAUGUCGGAAACGGCAUCGAGAGUUCGAAUCUCUCCCCUUCCGCCA
RNAcentral lists this transfer RNA (91 nucleotides) under Candidatus Saccharimonadota bacterium. RNAcentral describes it as "Candidatus Saccharibacteria bacterium tRNA-Ser". It matches the Rfam family "tRNA". Rfam says of the family: Transfer RNA (tRNA) molecules are approximately 80 nucleotides in length. Their secondary structure includes four short double-helical elements and three loops (D, anti-codon, and T loops). Lineage: Bacteria; Candidatus Saccharimonadota. The record is from RNAcentral.